This 470-nucleotide ribosomal RNA is filed under the name uncultured bacterium. RNAcentral describes it as "bacterial SSU rRNA". It matches the Rfam family "Bacterial small subunit ribosomal RNA", at positions 8 to 526 of the family's 1533-position model. The record is from RNAcentral.
AGAGUUCGAUCAUGGCUCAGAACGAACGCUGGCGGCAGGCCUAACACAUGCAAGUCGAGCGCGCCUUCGGGCGAGCGGCGGACGGGUUAGUAACGCGUGGGAACGUGCCCAGAUCUACGGAAUAGCCACUGGAAACGGUGAGUAAUACCGUAUACGCCCUUUGGGGGAAAGAUUUAUCGGAUUUGGAUCGGCCCGCGUUAGAUUAGGUAGUUGGUGGGGUAACGGCCUACCAAGCCUACGAUCUAUAGCUGGUUUUAGAGGAUGAUCAGCAACACUGGGACUGAGACACGGCCCAGACUCCUACGGGAGGCAGCAGUGGGGAAUCUUGGACAAUGGGGGCAACCCUGAUCCAGCCAUGCCGCGUGAGUGAAGAAGGCCCUAGGGUCGUAAAACUCUUUCGCCUGUGAUGAUAAUGACAGUAGCAGGUAAAGAAACCCCGGCUAACUCCGUGCCAGCAGCCGCGGUAAUUC